CGCCUUUUUGCUAUCCGCAGUUUUCAACGACCCGAACCUGCUGCAGGUUCGGGUCGAACGCAGUGAGACAACGGAGUCGCCUGCGGUGACGGCCCGUAUGGCGAGCGCAGCGAGUCAUCCUGCACGACCCAUCA
This 134-nucleotide small RNA is filed under the name Pluralibacter gergoviae. Its description in RNAcentral is "RtT RNA". Lineage: Bacteria; Pseudomonadati; Pseudomonadota; Gammaproteobacteria; Enterobacterales; Enterobacteriaceae. The record is from RNAcentral.